CACGUAGGGUGCGAGCGUUGUCCGGAAUUAUUGGGCGUAAAGAGCUCGUAGGCGGUGUGUCGCGUCGGCCGUGAAAACUUGGGGCUUAACUCUGAGCGUGCGGUCGAUACGGGCAUCACUUGAGUUCGGCAGGGGAGACUGGAAUUCCUGGUGUAGCGGUGAAAUGCGCAGAUAUCAGGAGGAACACCGGUGGCGAAGGCGGGUCUCUGGGCCGAUACUGACGCUGAUGCGCGAAAGCCAGGGGAGCGAACGGG
This 254-nucleotide ribosomal RNA is filed under the name uncultured bacterium. RNAcentral describes it as "partial 16S ribosomal RNA". It matches the Rfam family "Bacterial small subunit ribosomal RNA", at positions 524 to 776 of the family's 1533-position model. The record is from RNAcentral.